This 900-nucleotide long non-coding RNA is filed under the name Vulpes vulpes (red fox). Its description in RNAcentral is "lncRNA (ENSVVUG00000007876.1)". Lineage: Eukaryota; Metazoa; Chordata; Mammalia; Carnivora; Canidae. The record is from RNAcentral.
CCAGAGAUAUUUUGGAAGUCUAAAUCUCUGUUGGAUUUGCCAGUUCCCCUUCUGCCUUGGAGAAGGCCCCAAAGGAUUCUUUGCAGGUGACUGGAACCGAGAUGGAAAAUCUAAGGCUUUCAUUCAUGGAGCAAGUCAGAAACACAUUGCUCAGGAGAGAAGCCAUCUCUCUUUGUCCACAACAGGAGAUCAGUCCACUGUCACAUGCUCUUGGGAUAUGCCUCCUGAAGUCAGCUUUCCCUGGCAAGCCGGCUGUGAAAGCAUUCAUGGAUGCUGGGACCUCGCUGCAAGAAGCUGAGGCUACUGCUGCUUAUCUCCAGGGCGGGGAAUGGGCAGCCUCUCCUCCAGCACGAGAGCCUGGGUUCCGCUCCUUCCUCCCGAAGGGACUUGAAGAAGAAAUCACACAGGGGAAGGCCUCAGCUGUGGGAGGCUGGAGCAGCAAAGCCAAUAAACCCAGCUUUAUUUGUAAUGUGCCCGUGCUUCUUAUUUUGUUAGCCUCUACUCUGCUUCUUUGGAGCAAUGAAACAAGGAAAAGAAAAGAAAAAAAAAAAAAAGAGCCCCGCUCUAAGUAUGCAUGAACUUUAUGGCCUCACUCUGCUCUCUGUCCUCCUCCUUCCCACCAGGGUUGCCUGUGAAUUCUUCUCCCAGACUUCGUGUUUUCCAUCCUAACUUUUAUGACAUUUCCCUCGAUUAAUGGCUAACACAUUCAUUUUCUCCCCUCCACCCUCAUUAUCAAAGAGCGCUUGAAUAACUAUUAACUCUCUGGUUAACAGAAACAUGUUAAUCAUCUACAAGCCCUUGGGCAGGAAAAUGAUUCUUUGUAACCUUCUCCCAAAGGCGGGAGAGCCCUUGUCCCCUGGGAGCUGACCUUCAGACCAACCCCGGUCUAGAGGUUGGCAG